GAUGAAGAACGCAGCGAAAUGCGAUAAGUAGUGUGAAUUGCAGAAUUCAGUGAAUCAUCGAAUCUUUGAACGCACAUUGCGCCCUUUGGUAUUCCUUAGGGCAUGCCUGUUCGAGCGUCAUUUAAACCUUCAAGCUCAGCUUGGUGUUGGGUGACUGUCCGCUUCACCGCGGACUCGCCUCAAAAUUAUUGGCGGCCGGUACAUUGGCUCUCGAGCGCAGCAGGAACGCGUAACUCGAGGUCCUCGUGCUGGCUCCCAGAAGCUAUCUUCACAAUUUUGACCUCGGAUCAGGUAGGGAUACCCGCUGAACUUAAGCAUAUCAAUAAGCGGAGGA
RNAcentral lists this unclassified non-coding RNA (334 nucleotides) under soil metagenome. RNAcentral describes it as "partial contains 5.8S ribosomal RNA, internal transcribed spacer 2, and large subunit ribosomal RNA". The stretch from base 1 to 120 matches the Rfam family "5.8S ribosomal RNA", at positions 35 to 154 of the family's 154-position model. The record is from RNAcentral.